ACAGGUGACACAGACACAACCUGCACGCCAAUACCAGAAAAUACUACUUUCCUAGAUGGAGUGCCACCCAAAAAGCCAAAAGGUAAUGCUAUUUUCUCUUAGAUGUUCUCUAAUAAAAGAUCUGCAUUGAAUUCAGUAAGUAAGAGGUGUGUUUUCUAUCUGUCAAUAGUUGUACACACACGCCGCAGAAAACGCAGCAAUUCAACUGGUAAUAGAAAAGGUAAAAGAACUGUCUACUUAUUUAAAAAAGGAAGGAAGCAUAUAUUUGUGAUAACUGAGUAUCUCAGUCUAAUAAACCACAAGUAAACUGAAAGUUGCUAACUGCUAACCGAAAGCCUAAUGUAUUGCAGCAACAGUGUGCCCUGAAAGUCCCUCAAACAGAAGUAUGCCCACCAUUACCCCUGAGAGUAGUUUCCAUCUGAGCUCAAACCCAUUCCAGCAUGUAUUACGUAUUCCCUUCAGCCCCCCUCUUCUGCCCCCUAGUGGAGGUUCACCACUACAAAUCAUCCAGACAAUCAGCCCUUAUACGCCGCCUCUAUUCGGCACUGUGGUUCCAACAGGGCCUACAUACGUGAUUGGUGAGUCUACUGUAAAAGUAUCAUUAAACAGCUGCAUGUGCCUGCAUGCUCU
Molecule: long non-coding RNA, 630 nt
Filed under: Sinocyclocheilus anshuiensis
Lineage: Eukaryota; Metazoa; Chordata; Actinopteri; Cypriniformes; Cyprinidae
Description: lncRNA (ENSSANG00000029847.1)
Source: RNAcentral